This 255-nucleotide ribosomal RNA is filed under the name uncultured Atopobium sp. RNAcentral describes it as "partial 16S ribosomal RNA". It matches the Rfam family "Bacterial small subunit ribosomal RNA", at positions 101 to 355 of the family's 1533-position model. The record is from RNAcentral. Lineage: Bacteria; Bacillati; Actinomycetota; Coriobacteriia; Coriobacteriales; Atopobiaceae.
AACGGCUGAGUAACACGUGGGCAACCUGCCCUUUGCACUGGGAUAGCCUCGGGAAACCGAGGUUAAUACCGGAUACUCCAUAUUUGUCGCAUGGCGAAUAUGGGAAAGCUCCGGCGGCAAAGGAUGGGCCCGCGGCCUGUUAGCUAGUUGGUGGGGUAGUGGCCUACCAAGGCAAUGAUGGGUAGCCGGGUUGAGAGACCGACCGGCCAGAUUGGGACUGAGACACGGCCCAGACUCCUACGGGAGGCAGCAGUC